Molecule: ribosomal RNA, 444 nt
Filed under: uncultured Pseudomonas sp.
Lineage: Bacteria; Pseudomonadati; Pseudomonadota; Gammaproteobacteria; Pseudomonadales; Pseudomonadaceae
Description: bacterial SSU rRNA
Rfam family: Bacterial small subunit ribosomal RNA
Source: RNAcentral
CAUGUGGUUUAAUUCGAAGCAACGCGAAGAACCUUAACCAGGCCUUGACAUGCAGAGAACUUUCCAGAGAUGAUUGGUGCCUUCGGGAACUCUGACACAGGUGCUGCAUGGCUGUCGUCAGCUCGUGCGUGAGAUGUUGGGUUAAGUCCCGUAACGAGCGCAACCCUUGUCCUUAGUUACCAGCACGUUAUGGUGGGCACUCUAAGGAGACUGCCGGUGACAAACCGGAGGAAGGUGGGGAUGACGUCAAGUCAUCAUGGCCCUUACGGCCUGGGCUACACACGUGCUACAAUGGUCGGUACAAAGGGUUGCCAAGCCGCGAGGUGGAGCUAAUCCCAUAAAACCGAUCGUAGUCCGGAUCGCAGUCUGCAACUCGACUGCGUGAAGUCGGAAUCGCUAGUAAUCGUGAAUCAGAAUGUCACGGUGAAUACGUUCCCGGGCCUU